This 48-nucleotide ribosomal RNA is filed under the name Zalerion sp. MUT 1483. Its description in RNAcentral is "Lulwoana sp. MUT 1483 partial 28S ribosomal RNA". The record is from RNAcentral. Lineage: Eukaryota; Fungi; Ascomycota; Sordariomycetes; Lulworthiales; Lulworthiaceae.
UUGACCUCGGAUCAGGUAGGACUACCCGCUGAACUUAAGCAUAUCAAA